AAAUUUAGAUUAAUUAAUAAAAUAAAUAAAUAUUUUAUUUAAAAUAUUAUUUAAUUAAUAUUAUUAAUUUUAGUAUAAAUAUAAAAAAAAAUAUGAGAGUUAUAAAAAUUAUUAUUGUAAAAGAAUAUUCAAAUAAUUUAAAUAAUAUAAUUAUUUAAAAUAAAAAUUUUUUUGUAUUUUGUGUAUCAAAGUUAAUUAAAUAUAUUUUAUUAAAAAAAGAUUCUCUAAAUUAAUAGAGUUAAAUUAUUUUUUGAAUUUAAUGUGAAAAAAUUAUUUUAAAUAAUAAUUUAGAAGUUAAAAGUUAUUCGUGAUUAAUAUAUAUAGUUUUUAUUGAAAUAAAUUUAAUUUAGUUAAAUUUUUAUUAUUAUUAUUAUUGAAUAAAAUUUAUAUUAGUAGGGGAAAAUUUAUAAAUUUUUAAGGGGAUAAGCUUUUAAAAAUAAUAAUUAUAUGGUUAUGGUUUUAAUUUAAUUUUAUUAGGAUUAAAAAUUUCUUUAUUUUAUAUUAAUUUUAUUUAUAUUUAUUAUUUAUAUUUAUUACAUUAAGAUUUUAAAUAAAUAAUUUAUUUAAUAGUAUUUUAAUUGAAAUUAUGAUUAAAUUAGUAUAAGUAUAAUAAAUGUUAUUAUAAAAAAAUUAAUUAAUAAUUAAAGAAUUUGACAAAUUAAUUAAAUUUAAAUGUUUAAUAAAAACAUUGUUUAUUGAAAUAUUAAUUUUAAAUAAAAUCUGCCCACUGAAAUUUUUUAAAGGGCUGCAUAAUUUAUUGUACUAAGGUAGCAUAAUCAAUAGUAUUUUAAUUGGGUUCUAGAAUGAAUGAUUUAAUAAAAUUUAUUUUGUUUCAAUUAUUAGGUUAUAAUUUUAAUUUUUAGUAAAAAUGCUAAAAUAUUAUAAAAAGACGAGAAGACCCUAUAAAUCUUGAUUAUUUUUUUAAUAAUUUUUAUUUAUUAUUAAAAUUUUAUAAAAAUAAUUUUAUUGGGGUGAUAAAAAAAUUUAAUAAACUUUUUUUUAUUUAACAAUUAUAAUUGAUUAAUUGAUCUAGAAUUUUUAAUUAUGAGAAUAGUUACUUUAGGGAUAACAGCGUAAUUUUAAAUUUAAGUUCAUAUUAAAUUUAGAGUUUGCGACCUCGAUGUUGGAUUAAGAUAUUCUUUCAAAAGGAAAGUUUUGAAUUGUUAGUCUGUUCGACUAUUAAAAUCUUACAUGAUCUGAGUUUAAAUCGGUGUGAGCCAGAUUGGUUUCUAUCUUUUUUUUAUGAAUUUAAUUUAGUACGAAAGGAAUUUUUAAAAAUUUUUUAAAAUUUAGUAAAUGAAUAUUAUUA
This 1309-nucleotide ribosomal RNA is filed under the name Hydroptila angulata. Its description in RNAcentral is "16S ribosomal RNA". Lineage: Eukaryota; Metazoa; Arthropoda; Insecta; Trichoptera; Hydroptilidae. The record is from RNAcentral.